Molecule: unclassified non-coding RNA, 493 nt
Filed under: Hevea brasiliensis (rubber tree)
Lineage: Eukaryota; Viridiplantae; Streptophyta; Magnoliopsida; Malpighiales; Euphorbiaceae
Source: RNAcentral
AAGGCUUAGUUGAGUUGAGUUGUAGAAAAAAUCUAGGGUGGUCCCUAAUAAGCUCUUCCAUUGCCUUGAAAAGCUCAAAUCUUCAACAGGCCACCUUGAAUGUUUGGCCGAGUUUGCUAUUUAACACAUUUGCCCUCUGUUUUUAUUAUGUGUUAAGGCAGUUUGCUAUGCAUUUGCUUUCAUAAAAUGCUUGAGGGGGAGAAAAUUUUUAUAGAUAUGGCUGCCUGGUUGUGAUUUGCUAGUAGAAGUAAUGGUAGGAUGUACUAGAGGGGCCAUGCCACCAUGGUCUCCUUACUUUCAGCUACUUAAGCAAUAUUUUGGGCAUAAAAAGUCACCAUUGCUGAUAGUAUUGUAUUCUGCGAUCUCAAGCAUUUAGCAGAUAUGAUCAUGCUUACUUUAUUCUGGUUAUUAAAAGCAUGAAACUAGUUACGAAUACUAAAUAUUUAAUCAAUCAACACUUACAAAUGAAGACUAAAACUUUUUUUUUUUUUUU